This 373-nucleotide ribosomal RNA is filed under the name uncultured bacterium. Its description in RNAcentral is "bacterial SSU rRNA". It matches the Rfam family "Bacterial small subunit ribosomal RNA", at positions 523 to 898 of the family's 1533-position model. The record is from RNAcentral.
AUACGGAGGAUCCAAGCGUUAUCCGGAUUUAUUGGGUUUAAAGGGUGCGUAGGCGGCUUUUUAAGUCAGGGGUGAAAGACGGUAGCUCAACUAUCGCAGUGCCCUUGAUACUGAAGAGCUUGAAUGGACUAGAGGUAGGCUGAAUGUGACAAGUAGCGGUGAAAUGCAUAGAUAUGUCACAGAACACCGAUUGCGAAGGCAGCUUACUAUGGUCCUAUUGACGCUGAGGCACGAGAGCGUGGGGAUCAAACAGGAUUAGAUACCCUGGUAGUCCCCGCCCUAAACGAUGAAUACUCGCUGUUGGCGAUACACAGUCAGCGGCUAAGCGAAAGCGUUAAGUAUUCCACCUGGGGAGUACGCCCGCAAGGGUGAA